AACGUAGGUGGCGAGCGUUAUCCGGAUUCACUGGGCGUAAAGCGCACGCAGGCGGCCCGGAAAGUAGGGCAUGAAAUCUCCUGGCUUAACUGGGAGAGGUUGUCCUAUACUGCCGGGCUUGAGGAUGGGAGAGGGAAGUGGAACUGCCGGUGUAGUGGUGAAAUGCGUAGAGAUCGGCAAGAACACCAGUGGCGAAGGCGGCUUCCUGGCCCAUUCCUGACGCUCAGGUGCGAAAGCUAGGGGAGUGAAC
This 250-nucleotide ribosomal RNA is filed under the name uncultured bacterium. RNAcentral's name for it is "partial 16S ribosomal RNA". It matches the Rfam family "Bacterial small subunit ribosomal RNA", at positions 524 to 773 of the family's 1533-position model. The record is from RNAcentral.